AAGUAGAACAAAAGCAAAAUCACGCAGUUCUAUGAAAAGGAGAGGACAAAAUCAAACUCUCAAAAGAAAGAGAAACACCAUAAUGAAAUAAAGAUCUAAUAAACAAACGAAAUCGUACAACAAGGUGAGAGAUAGCAAAUCUACCUUGUUUUCAUGAUCCAUCAUAGGACAACAAAGAAAUGGAGAACUUGCACAAUCUCCUUCGGAUCUUUUGUUGGUGGUGAGAGAGUGAAGCUGCAACAUGAUCUGAUGGAGCCAAAUUCCAAUCACUCCCACCUCUUACUGAAACUCACAAGAACAAUCAUAAUUCUACCUCUACUAACCAAGCCCACACCUCCUAUCACCAAUGCUCAUCAAGAACCCGUAAUUCCCUUCGCAAGUUGACACGACGAAAAACCUCGAAAACGCGGUAAUUUCAGUACCACCAACACCAUGGAUAGAUUUGGCUCAUGCCUGACAACCAGAUCAUGCUGGCAGCUUCAUUCUCUCACACCAGCAAAACUUCGUUCUUGCAAGAACAUGAGACAGACAAGUAAUACACACAGGAAGGAGAAGGAGAGGAAUGGAGAAGUGGCCAUUGGCAUGUACUACUACUACUGAUAAUAUAGCAGCAGUGGGCAAAGGAGAAGGAAGAAGACAGACAAAAACAGCGGCACGAGGUGUGUGCAAUAUGGUUUGUCACAAGCAUACAUACAUGGUCCCU
This 703-nucleotide precursor RNA is filed under the name Oryza sativa Indica Group (long-grained rice). RNAcentral's name for it is "precursor microRNA 167e". The stretch from base 217 to 494 matches the Rfam family "MIR167 microRNA precursor family". Lineage: Eukaryota; Viridiplantae; Streptophyta; Magnoliopsida; Poales; Poaceae. The record is from RNAcentral.